This is a long non-coding RNA of Aethalodelphis obliquidens (Pacific white-sided dolphin), 893 nucleotides long. RefSeq lists it as uncharacterized. The record is from RefSeq and is a predicted model, not a curated record. Lineage: Eukaryota; Metazoa; Chordata; Mammalia; Artiodactyla; Delphinidae. The transcript is spliced from 4 exons.
UCCUGGCGGCGCCUCGCGCGGAGGAAGACCUGGCGGUGCAAGGCUGCAGCUCUGCCGGCUAUUGCUCUGAAUACAAAAGAGCCUUUCUCACGCCCCUGCGCCCUUCCCGGCCCGGGACCCCCGGACGGAAGGGGCUGGCUCGUUGGACGCUGGAGACGACAGCUGUCGGGGCCACACCACCAUUUCUGUGGUUCUUGCAGAGAAGUGUGGUUCCAAGUAUUUAUUUUAAAGGAAAUUUUAAUAAUGAUUAUAACGAUGACUUUUGUCCCCUCUUCCAAUUUAAGAGAAAAAACAAACAGGGAUGAAGGCGUUUGAAGCCCCGGCAAGUCCCCAAGAAAGCUAACCUGCCCGGGUCCGGGUCUUCCCGGGCCCUCUCAUACCUCAAAGGCGUUAAUUAAGCAAGCUCUGGGCCUCCAGCUUUGUGGCUUCGUUUUCCGACUCAGCUAAAUGAUGAGAAUGGUCUUCCCAGACUGUAAACGGAGUAUUGAUCAGCUUCUGAGUCUUCAGAUGAGCUAGUCUUGCUUGUAGAAUUACAUGGUUCCCGAAGCUGGAAAAAAGAAAUGGCCUGGUUGUCAGCACUCGCCCAAACGCUAAGGAAGCCCAGAUCAAUAAGCAGGAGAGGAAAAAAGGCAAGAACUCUUGGAAUCAAUAACCGAACCAUUCACUGCUUCUCUACUGCCCCUUAAUCAUCCUUUAGCGUCUCUUCAGCUUUUUACCACACUGUGAGGAUGGAGUGGACCCGUUCAAGCCCCUUACAUGCAGAACUGGAAGCCAGAAGUCAAGCUUUCUCUGCUCGUGACUGAUGAGAAGACACCAUCCUACAGGCCACCGUGUAUAAGAACAGAAAGUAAUGGAGCUGAGUAACGUACAGCAGUUACCUUACAAAUGCUGCU